This 395-nucleotide ribosomal RNA is filed under the name uncultured bacterium. RNAcentral's name for it is "partial 16S ribosomal RNA". It matches the Rfam family "Bacterial small subunit ribosomal RNA", at positions 523 to 918 of the family's 1533-position model. The record is from RNAcentral.
AUACGUAGGGUGCAAGCGUUAAUCGGAAUUACUGGGCGUAAAGCGUGCGCAGGCGGUUUUGUAAGACAGUGGUGAAAUCCCCGGGCUCAACCUGGGAACUGCCAUUGUGACUGCAAGGCUGGAGUGCGGCAGAGGGGGAUGGAAUUCCGCGUGUAGCAGUGAAAUGCGUAGAUAUGCGGAGGAACACCGAUGGCGAAGGCAAUCCCCUGGGCCUGCACUGACGCUCAUGCACGAAAGCGUGGGGAGCAAACAGGAUUAGAUACCCUGGUAGUCCACGCCCUAAACGAUGUCAACUGGUUGUUGGGGAUUUAUUUUCUCAGUAACGAAGCUAACGCGUGAAGUGGACCGCCUGGGGAGUACGGCCGCAAGGUUAAAACUCAGAGGAAUUGACGGGG